Molecule: long non-coding RNA, 1071 nt
Organism: Sebastes umbrosus (honeycomb rockfish)
Lineage: Eukaryota; Metazoa; Chordata; Actinopteri; Perciformes; Sebastidae
Exons: 7
Source: RefSeq, a predicted model, not a curated record
AGAGAGAGAGAGAGAGAGAGAGACGGGGUUGGAGAAAUGCUUUGAGGAGUAAUGGUUGCUUGGAGACUGUUGUCAAGGAGACGAUGAGUCCUAGAGUCCUUUGGCAUCUCAAAUGUCCUAUAUUUAUGUUGAUUUUCUGAAAGAGGAGGGGUUUUUGUUUGUUUUUACUUUUUUUUUUCUCCACCCAGCAGCGCACAGAUUAUACAUGCGCAGGGCUAUAAUAACCAAACAACAAAAGGGAGCGGGGAGUGAGUGAAAGAUAAGGCCAAGUGGUUGUAAUAGCAGGUUGAAGACGAAGGCACAAAUCAACCUCACUUAUAUGGGCCGCUGAAUGCCUCGUGCAACGCUCCCCACGACUCCACUAAUGUGGAUUAAUAGCAGGUCAAAAGAUCUCGCGAGAUUUGGCGACACUGCUACCUGCAUCAGUGACCAGACGGCCUGUGUGUGCAGCACCUAACCACGUCUCGCUGUUGUGCUCGCGUUUCUACAUGUACAGAGAGGGAAUUAAAGAGGAGUCUUAAAACCGUGUGCACGCCUGGAAGUCCUGUGAAUCCAAGUGUGCAACAAUAAACACCUAAAGUGGGAAAACAGAAAGCCUGGCUCUGUGCAAAGAAUGUCACUGAAGAGCUUUCGCUUCUUGGACUCGCCGCUCUGUAUUUCCUGCCAGUGAGAUCUUCUGUGGAUGAAGUGGGAGAGGGCAAAUUUGGCCCACACAUGGCGAGCAAACUGAUGUGACCUCAGCUGACUUUCACUCUGCACUGGAAGGGGGGAGAUGGGGAAAGGAAGUCAUUGACGGUGUGAUGAUUUGUGUUACCUAGUUCCUGUGCGAUGCUCUGCCUGUGACUGACUGAAGCGCUGUUCCAUACGGCCUCCAGCACCCGACUGCCCAACCUGGAGCACGCCAUGUUGACAUACUGACCCUGGGAGGACAAAUGUGGUACCUCCAGUCUCUUGAGGAUCUUGCCUCUUCCCUUGUCGCUGGAUGUGGUGAUGAGGGCCUGGAGGACGUGGCUGCCGGAGGGGUCAGAAGCCAGCGUCAGGAGGUCAGCGGGGGUCAGGGUGCGCAGGCUG